This 21-nucleotide non-coding RNA is filed under the name Caenorhabditis elegans. The record is from RNAcentral. Lineage: Eukaryota; Metazoa; Nematoda; Chromadorea; Rhabditida; Rhabditidae.
UGAAAAUAUUGUUCUGUUUCA